This 638-nucleotide ribosomal RNA is filed under the name Methylobacterium mesophilicum. RNAcentral's name for it is "bacterial SSU rRNA". It matches the Rfam family "Bacterial small subunit ribosomal RNA", at positions 89 to 762 of the family's 1533-position model. Lineage: Bacteria; Pseudomonadati; Pseudomonadota; Alphaproteobacteria; Hyphomicrobiales; Methylobacteriaceae. The record is from RNAcentral.
GUGUCAGCGGCGGACGGGUGAGUAACGCGUGGGAACGUGCCCUCUGGUUCGGAAUAACUCAGGGAAACUUGAGCUAAUACCGGAUACGCCCUUUUGGGGAAAGGCUUGCUGCCGGAGGAUCGGCCCGCGUCUGAUUAGCUAGUUGGUGAGGUAACGGCUCACCAAGGCGACGAUCAGUAGCUGGUCUGAGAGGAUGAUCAGCCACACUGGGACUGAGACACGGCCCAGACUCCUACGGGAGGCAGCAGUGGGGAAUAUUGGACAAUGGGCGCAAGCCUGAUCCAGCCAUGCCGCGUGAGUGAUGAAGGCCUUAGGGUUGUAAAGCUCUUUUAUCCGGGACGAUAAUGACGGUACCGGAGGAAUAAGCCCCGGCUAACUUCGUGCCAGCAGCCGCGGUAAUACGAAGGGGGCUAGCGUUGCUCGGAAUCACUGGGCGUAAAGGGCGCGUAGGCGGCGUUUUAAGUCGGGGGUGAAAGCCUGUGGCUCAACCACAGAAUGGCCUUCGAUACUGGGACGCUUGAGUAUGGUAGAGGUUGGUGGAACUGCGAGUGUAGAGGUGAAAUUCGUAGAUAUUCGCAAGAACACCGGUGGCGAAGGCGGCCAACUGGACCAUUACUGACGCUGAGGCGCGAAAGCGU